UAUGGCUCAGGAUGAACGCUAGCGACAGGCUUAACACAUGCAAGUCGAGGGGCAGCAUAAAAGUAGCAAUACUUGGUGGCGGCCGGCGCACGGGUGAGUAACGCGUAUGCAACCUACCUAUCAGAGGGGAAUAACCCGGCGAAAGUCGGACUAAUACCGCAUAAAACAGGGGCACCGCAUGGUGAUAUUUGUUAAAGAAAUUCGCUGAUAGAUGGGCAUGCGUUCCAUUAGGUAGUUGGUGAGGUAACGGCUCACCAAGCCGACGAUGGAUAGGGGAACUGAGAGGUUGGUCCCCCACACUGGUACUGAGACACGGACCAGACUCCUACGGGAGGCAGCAGUGAGGAAUAUUGGUCAAUGGGCGAGAGCCUGAACCAGCCAAGUCGCGUGAAGGAAGAAGGAUCUAUGGUUCGUAAACUUCUUUUGCAGGGGAAUAAAGUGCAGGACGUGUCCUGUUUUGUAUGUACCCUGAGAAUAAGGAUCGGCUAACUCCGUGCCAGCCGCCGC
RNAcentral lists this ribosomal RNA (507 nucleotides) under uncultured bacterium. RNAcentral's name for it is "bacterial SSU rRNA". It matches the Rfam family "Bacterial small subunit ribosomal RNA", at positions 18 to 518 of the family's 1533-position model. The record is from RNAcentral.